RNAcentral lists this long non-coding RNA (644 nucleotides) under Homo sapiens (human). RNAcentral describes it as "non-protein coding lnc-HMGB2-3:18". The record is from RNAcentral. Lineage: Eukaryota; Metazoa; Chordata; Mammalia; Primates; Hominidae.
CUUCUUAUUGAUUGUUCUUGCUUUUUCACACGGCUCCUUAAGGUGGUGAAUUUGUAACCGAAAGGCCCAGGUGAGAUGUGCAAAUAUCACUGGAUUGGAGGAGCUCACUUGGAAAGCCAGUAUUCCUCCUGAGCUAAUGAAAAGAAAGGCUGUCGUCUUAUGCCAAAAGCAAUACCAACCUUGUUCACGGGCUGAGAUCUAGAGUGUGUAAUUCACGAAGUAUGAAUCUGCUGGGUAAUGUGAUAUGAAAAGCGAAUGCACCAUUUCUUGGUGAUGAUUCAGGUCAGCGUUGGGACCCAGGAAUCUCCUGUUAAUCAGUACCCUGGUGAUUUUGAUCCAGGUCAUCAAGACCAUGGCUUCCAUCGUAGGCAGUCACACUCUUUCUCUCUUGGAUCAUUUGCUGUGGGGAAGCAAACUGUCAUAUGAGAGGACACUCAAACAGCCUCUGGAGUCUCAUUUGCUAAGGAACUGAGGACUCCAGCCUGAGAACUCAGGCAAGUAACUGAGGCCUGCCAACAACCAUGGAGAAAGCCUGGAAGUGGAUCCUCCCUCAGCCUUCAGUCGAGACAACAGCUGCAAUGACAGCCAAGCCAGCGCCACCCAGCUUAGCCACCCCCAGAGAACUAACUCUCAGAAACCAUGUA